RNAcentral lists this ribosomal RNA (35 nucleotides) under Rhizoctonia solani. RNAcentral describes it as "partial 28S ribosomal RNA". The record is from RNAcentral. Lineage: Eukaryota; Fungi; Basidiomycota; Agaricomycetes; Cantharellales; Ceratobasidiaceae.
CUACCCGCUGAACUUAAGCAUAUCAAUAAGGCGGA